AAAAAAAGUAGUAAAACGCCUGCAUGUAAUGAAGGGGCAUGUAAAAAAAUAUAUGUGAUAUUACAUAGCUUUUGCAGUACUCCCCUACGCUAUUUUUCCUAACACCAUUUACACCCAAUUUGUGUAAUAUUAACAGCUUAUUCCUUUAGAGUGUUGUUUGUUUGCCAAAUGUCAAAAUCAGUCAGUUUUCGUUUUCGCGCACACACGACAACUGCUCCGUUUUCAGCAGCAUCGGUUCCGAACGUUCCGAAACACCUCCGCAGGUGUUGAACCUGUUGCAGCAGCUGGACUUUGUCUCGGGUGGACGUCCAACUCCAUCUCAAGUUGAACCGGCGGCAUUUUGCACGGCGGAAGUAAAAAAAGUGAAGGCGUUUCCAAUUCCGAUUCGGGAAGUGGCAGCAGUAGCAUUGAGCAAAACUUUGGCGGCAGGAAAAACGGCCACCACCACCUUCGACCUCGAGCAUCUGCAGCGUCACCGGAAAUGCCAGAAUUUCACACAAAUAGCACACACGGAUGACCUCGCGUGCUCCCGCCGUUGGAACCGGGUGGAGAUGGCACUGGCGGUGUUGAUGAUAGCAAGGACAAGUUUGAGGAAAAGAUCAAAGUUUGACACGACUGUCAGCAGCUGCGGAAAGACUAUCUAGAAGUGAACAGGUUGACAUGGACGUCGCGCGUGCCGGAUUGUUUCCAGCAGAUUCCGCGUCGAAAAGUGCUGAAUCCACAUCUGCCUAGUGAGGAACGUUCAAGCAAUCAGAAGACCUUCAAGCAAGCUGCACGAUUGCUUGCUUAGUUUGAAUACUGGCAGACAGGAGCAGGCCAGCACCGUUGGUUCACGUGUCGCAGAUCUGCGCCGGAAAGGGCUCGGACAGAGUUCUGCUGUUGCACAAUGGCGAUCUAACCGAUGUUCAAGAACUGCGUGGACGCGAUUUGUGAUCCGAGCAGGCUGGAUUUUCCCUCGAUCAAGUACAUUGCUACGGCAUCGCUGCAAUCGAUGUCGGUCAUCUCGGAACACACCGAUGAAAACCGGGACAUCAUUCAUGCUAAAGUGAUUCCGAAGAAUCUAGAUCGACACUAUCAACAGCAGCUCCAGCUUUAACUCCGGAGGACUGGAGAACAUCAACGUGAUCACCAACACCAUGGUGGAAAAUCGUCUGGAAGUUAUGAAACAUCGGGAGGAACACCCUCCGGAGUCGAAGACGAUGACAGCAUGAAUGACCUAAACGCGCUUCGGAAAUCCUUUAACAAGGCAUUCAUCUCGGACUAGAACAAACUAAGUGCGAAUCGUACAACUCCUGUGCGAAUGUCCCGAUCUUGAAAACGAAAGACGACCAAGGACAAACAUCGUCCAUGUUGGCCGUCUCGUGUCGAUCCUACCGUCUUCGUGCUCAAAACGAUCCUCGAAAGCACUUACAAAACGAUAAUUUAACGACUAAGUAACUAAAGAUUAGUAGUAUUCUAGUUAAAUAAUGCAAUAAAAUACUUUAUCGAACAA
Molecule: long non-coding RNA, 1492 nt
Organism: Culex pipiens pallens (northern house mosquito)
Lineage: Eukaryota; Metazoa; Arthropoda; Insecta; Diptera; Culicidae
Exons: 2
Source: RefSeq, a predicted model, not a curated record